Mastomys coucha (southern multimammate mouse) is the source of this 398-nucleotide long non-coding RNA. RefSeq lists it as uncharacterized. The transcript is spliced from 3 exons. The record is from RefSeq and is a predicted model, not a curated record. NCBI's taxonomy places the organism in Eukaryota, Metazoa, Chordata, Mammalia, Rodentia, Muridae.
UGGGUCUUCCCAUCACGGCAUCAAUCCAGUAGGACACUGGACUUGGAAGGGCUUGGUUGGUCCACCCUGGUGACUGAGUAGCCUCCCUUCCUAUUGCCCACGCACCUAGAGCCAGAUGGAUGUCAGGAAGGAUACACUCAAUUUCUCGGGAAUUGCCGGCUGACUUGAUUCCUCUACCUGAUUGCCAGUAUCAAGCUUGUCCACCCGAGUCAGAGCCCAGCACGGUGCCUGACAGACUGCAGAGCCGAGUAAUGUGGGCCGAGCAGCGGCUCCCCAACAAAUGUGCCAGCCGGAGCCCACAAGUGCCCCGGGGUGAGCCUCUUCAGACAAAAGGGAUCUUCACAGAUAGAAUGGAUGAGGUCAUCUUGGAUUCCCCAGAUGUCACAGCCAGUGACAGG